GCUAACCACCAUGCCACCCUGAACACGUCCGAUCUUGUCUGAUCUCAGAAGCUAAGCAGGGUUGGGCCUGGUUAGUACAUGGAUGGCAGAAGAACUGGGAAUACUGUUUUACUUUGUC
Molecule: ribosomal RNA, 118 nt
Filed under: Amphilophus citrinellus (Midas cichlid)
Lineage: Eukaryota; Metazoa; Chordata; Actinopteri; Cichliformes; Cichlidae
Source: RNAcentral